RNAcentral lists this ribosomal RNA (253 nucleotides) under uncultured bacterium. Its description in RNAcentral is "partial 16S ribosomal RNA". It matches the Rfam family "Bacterial small subunit ribosomal RNA", at positions 524 to 776 of the family's 1533-position model. The record is from RNAcentral.
UACGUAGGGUGCAAGCGUUGUCCGGAAUUAUUGGGCGUAAAGCGCUCGCAGGUGGUCCGUCGCGUCGUGCGUGAAAGCCCCCGGCUCAACUGGGGAGUGUCGUGCGAUACGGGCGGACUGGAGGCCAGUAGGGGGAUGCGGAAUUCCGGGUGUAGUGGUGGAAUGCGUAGAGAUCCGGAGGAACACCAGCGGCGAAGGCGGCAUCCUGGACUGGUCCUGACACUCAUGAGCGAAAGCGUGGGGAGCGAACAGG